RNAcentral lists this ribosomal RNA (417 nucleotides) under uncultured bacterium. RNAcentral describes it as "bacterial SSU rRNA". It matches the Rfam family "Bacterial small subunit ribosomal RNA", at positions 358 to 774 of the family's 1533-position model. The record is from RNAcentral.
GGAAUAUUGCUCAAUGGGAGAAAUCCUGAAGCAGCAACGCCGCGUGGAGGAUGAAGGGUUUUUAACUUGUAAACUCCUGUAAAGAAGGAAAAAAUUCCCAUUAGAUGGGAAAUGAUGGUACUUCUGGAGUAAGCCCCGGCUAACUACGUGCCAGCAGCCGCGGUAAUACGUAGGGGGCAAGCGUUGUCCGGAUUUACUGGGUGUAAAGGGUGCUCAGGCGGAUUUGUAAGUCAGAGGUGAAAUCUCACAGCUUAACUGUGAAACUGCCUUUGAUACUGCAAGCCUAGAGUAUGGAAGAGAGUGAUGGAAUAUCUGGUGUAGCAGUGAAAUGCGUAGAUAUCAGAUAGAACACCAAUGGCGAAGGCAGUCACUUGGUCCAUAACUGACGCUAAAGCACGAAAGCGUGGGUAGCAAACA